UUGUAAUAGGACAUUUACUCUUGCAGGACC
This 30-nucleotide non-coding RNA is filed under the name Rattus norvegicus (Norway rat). The record is from RNAcentral. Lineage: Eukaryota; Metazoa; Chordata; Mammalia; Rodentia; Muridae.